GGGCGAUUAGCUCAGUUGGUAGAGCAUCUCCUUUACACGGAGGGGGUCGGAGGUUCGAACCCGUCAUCGCCCACCA
RNAcentral lists this transfer RNA (76 nucleotides) under Candidatus Regiella insecticola. Its description in RNAcentral is "tRNA-Val". It matches the Rfam family "tRNA". Rfam says of the family: Transfer RNA (tRNA) molecules are approximately 80 nucleotides in length. Their secondary structure includes four short double-helical elements and three loops (D, anti-codon, and T loops). The record is from RNAcentral. Lineage: Bacteria; Pseudomonadati; Pseudomonadota; Gammaproteobacteria; Enterobacterales; Enterobacteriaceae. RNAcentral also lists the same sequence under 1 other name.